This is a long non-coding RNA of Oncorhynchus nerka (sockeye salmon), 2988 nucleotides long. RefSeq lists it as uncharacterized. The record is from RefSeq and is a predicted model, not a curated record. The transcript is spliced from 2 exons. NCBI's taxonomy places the organism in Eukaryota, Metazoa, Chordata, Actinopteri, Salmoniformes, Salmonidae.
ACUGGAAUCCCCUGCCCCGAGGUCGAACCUUCUGGAAAAAGGAGAAAAAGAGCUGUAAGACAGGUCAAGCCAGUGCAUCUGGAUACCGGUCAGUGCUGCAGAAGCGAAGUGACCCGGGCCUUACUGAACACCUCCCGGAGGUCCUGGUACACCGCGGGGCUGGCGGAAAGUUCCGGGGCAAUUUCCAAGCCCCCAGGAAGACGUCCCAGGGCAGGCAGAGCUAACUUCAGGCAAUGAGUGUGGCAGGACGGGCUCCAGCCCACAAUGGCACCAGUAGCCCAGUCAAUAAAGGGAUUGUGUCGCUGGAGCCAAGAAAAUCUCUUUUCACUUUCUCCACUGCAGGCCCGUCGAUGUGGAUGGGGUCGUGCUCCCUCUUUCGUCUCCUGAAGUCCACGAUCAGCUCCUUCCUUUUGGAGUUUAUGUCCGUAAACACUCCAGCCAGCUGGUCUGCGCAUGCUCUGAGGAUGUGUCUAAGGAUGCAUUCUGGGCCGGCAGCCUAGCGAGCGAUAAUUAACACGCUUAAAUGUUUUAGGUUGGCCACAGAGAAUGUGAGCCCACAGUUCUCGGGAGCAGCCUGCGUCGGUGGCAUUGUUAUCUUCAAAAGGGGACAAGGUGUUUAUCUUGUCGGAUGGCAAGACGUUGGUGUCCUUAAUUAAUGUGACGGCUUUUCCCUUUGUAAUGAUUGUCUGGAGUCCUUGCCACAUAUGGCUCAUGUCUGAGCCAUUGAAAUGCGACUCCAAUCCCCAGUAGAAGCAAUCCUUCAUAGGAAUCAAUGGUAUUCUACAGUAUUUCAGUUACAUGUUUCAAGUACAAAAUGACAUGUAUUUGUUGUAGUGGGGACAGUAACAUUAGUAAUUUCCCAAAAUGGUACAUACAAUAAAUUGUUUUUAUGUGUUUUUUAAAUUUGAUUAUUUUGUUUAGCUCACAUACUAUAAUUGUAAAGUAUUUAUUAAGGUGACUGUAAUAGAAUAAAUCUAACUAAUGAGAGAGAGCGCGAGGUGGGACAUAGAUGAGGUUUUCAUAGACCAGUAUACUCUGCACUGGUUGGUUGGUGACAGCUCACAUGGGUCAUGUUGUCUGGCGCAACCACCUGUCAAUCACAAUCACAACGUACCAGGUUACCACUUGCGCGAUGUCCACCUGUUAGUUGUCAUGGCGGAAAAAUCAGUGAUGAGGCCUUCUUGCUGCCCGUCUCCGCAUGAUUGAAGAAGGCAAUGAGCUCCAUCGUUUUUUUUUUAAAUGGCGGGUGGGGAAGCGAAACCUACUGUGAUAGGGGGCGACAAGCCGUGUGGGUAAACUACUUUUUUCACCCGACCUGUCCAACCUAUCAUCUCUAAAAUGUAAAUAAAACAAUAUAAAGAGUUUGUAUAAUGUGUCAUCAGUCAGUUGUACAUCUGGAUUGCCUCUUCCACCUGUAAACCAACCCCUCUAAAUCAGAGGUGCGGGGCUGCCUUAAUCGACAUCCACUGGGAACAGCAGGUUAUAAACUGCCUUGCUCAGGGGCAAAACGACAUACUUUUAUUCUGUCAGCUCGGGGAUUCGAUACUGACCCAACGCUAAAGUUAUCUUCAGAAGUAAACAGCUGCUUUUGAGUGAUGAUGGCUUGCAGUGAUGAUGCAAAAAAAUGAAUACAUUCAGUUGAAUAAUUGACUAGGUAUCCCCCUUACCGUUUUCUUAUUAAUCUGUGAGAGAAAGUGCUACACCUGGUGGAGAGAGGCUAUACGACACAGAAUGAGUUGUAUAAUGUACGUUACGUAACGUAUAGCGUCAGAGGGGUCAGUUUUUAAAACUUUUCUCCAAUAGUAUCGGGCCAUUACCAUGUCAAUCAACGCUUGACUAUAUGCGUAGUUCAUUUUUGAUGCCAACACAGUCCCAUUAGUUUUCAUUGCUGCCUCGUUUGAAUGCCGCGGUUGCGAAAAUUUGUACGGAAUGGGGUUAGUCAACAGUAGCUAGCUAGCAUAAUCAUUAGAAAAGUAAUCAUUCAUCUGCUAAGACCUAGCAACUGACAUAAAUCCCAUGAUUUAUUGUUCACCCAGUUAGAACUGGCGUUUUAGUCGAACCACGACUGAAGGUAGAAAAUAAUUUGGUUGGCUUUGACAUUCUGUGAAUGUGUAUCUACUGCCUUUUGUUUAAUGUAAACCCUAUCUAAACCUUUUACAAUUGGCUGUCCCCACUCUCCAGGCUGCAAUCCACUCCCAGUUAGAUGGGGUCUGUUCAGGCCUCUGUCAACUCCACAAUGCCCUGGGGGACAUGAAGGACAUCCAGAACUCUCUGGCAGAAGUCAGCAAUGACUAGAGGCAAGGCAUCAACACCAUUGAACGUGCAGUAUGUAAAAUAUGCUGGGAUGCAACACAGUCAGCUAACCUCAGCCAUGGAAGAAUAUAUUUUCAGGUAUGUUCUGCUGCACCCAUUACAUGCAACUUGGUUGGGAACUAUUAUUGUUGGCUUGCAUUGCAUUUGAUGUGAGACUGUAUUGCUACAUUGUAUUAGUGUAUUGUCCCUCAACUGGGUCCUCAAUUAAUACUUACAAAAGUAUGUCUGUACUGCUCUCGGUGACUCAUGUAUAGGGCCCUGUGUUUUGGUUAACAGUUUCGCUAAGCAGCUACCCUCAAACAACUUGUUUGAAGGUGAAAUCACAGUAGGAGAAAACCUAAGAUUUUAGUUACAGCAGCACACUGACAUAAAAGGCAAGGGGUUGAAUGGGCCAACAUGAAGGGUGACUACCUCAUGAAGCUGGUUGAGAGAAUGCCAAGAGUGUGCAAAGCUGUCAAGGCAAAGGGUGACUGAAGAAUCUCAACUAUCAAAUAUAUUUUGAUUUAACACUUGUUUUGUUUACUUCAUGAUUCCAUAUGUGUUAUUUCAUAGUUUUGAUGUCUUCACUAUUAUUCUACAAUGUAUAAAAUAGUCAAAAUAAAGAAAAACCCAUGAAUGAGUAGGUGUGUCCAAACUGGUACUGUAACUCCAAAUAAAACAUUUGAACCCAUUAUA